RNAcentral lists this ribosomal RNA (636 nucleotides) under Exiguobacterium sp. TSL_61. RNAcentral describes it as "bacterial SSU rRNA". It matches the Rfam family "Bacterial small subunit ribosomal RNA", at positions 94 to 718 of the family's 1533-position model. Lineage: Bacteria; Bacillati; Bacillota; Bacilli; Caryophanales. The record is from RNAcentral.
AGCGGCGGACGGGUGAGUAACACGUAAAGAACCUGCCCUCAGGUCUGGGAUAACCACGAGAAAUCGGGGCUAAUACCGGAUGGGUCAUCGGACCGCAUGGUCCGAGGAUGAAAGGCGCUUCGGCGUCGCCUGGGGAUGGCUUUGCGGUGCAUUAGCUAGUUGGUGGGGUAAUGGCCCACCAAGGCGACGAUGCAUAGCCGACCUGAGAGGGUGAUCGGCCACACUGGGACUGAGACACGGCCCAGACUCCUACGGGAGGCAGCAGUAGGGAAUCUUCCACAAUGGACGAAAGUCUGAUGGAGCAACGCCGCGUGAACGAUGAAGGCCUUCGGGUCGUAAAGUUCUGUUGUAAGGGAAGAACAAGUGCCGCAGGCAAUGGCGGCACCUUGACGGUACCUUGCGAGAAAGCCACGGCUAACUACGUGCCAGCAGCCGCGGUAAUACGUAGGUGGCAAGCGUUGUCCGGAAUUAUUGGGCGUAAAGCGCGCGCAGGCGGCCUCUUAAGUCUGAUGUGAAAGCCCCCGGCUCAACCGGGGAGGGCCAUUGGAAACUGGGAGGCUUGAGUAUAGGAGAGAAGAGUGGAAUUCCACGUGUAGCGGUGAAAUGCGUAGAGAUGUGGAGGAACACCAGUGGCGA